Molecule: long non-coding RNA, 3061 nt
Organism: Oncorhynchus keta (chum salmon)
Lineage: Eukaryota; Metazoa; Chordata; Actinopteri; Salmoniformes; Salmonidae
Exons: 3
Source: RefSeq, a predicted model, not a curated record
GUACAUUUAUUAACACUUCCAUUGUUUAGCACCUCCUUCAUUUGAACUGCAAACCACACCCAUGGUGGUAUAUAAGGGGGUUUGAAAGGGGGUCAUAUAAACAUUGCCGUAUAUAUAUAUAUUUUUUUACAGGUAACAUACCCAUUUCAGACAGAAAAUGUGCUAUCUGUCUGCUCUCUUUCUCUCUCUGUAUCUCUGUCUGUCUCUCUCUCUCUCUCUCUCUCUCUCUCUCUCUCUCUCUGUCUCUCUCUCUCUCUCUCUCUCUCUCUCUCUCUCUCUCUCUCUCUCUCUCUCUCUCUCUCUCUCUCUCUCUCUCUCUACUCUAUGGCUGCCUCCUCCAUAUUCAUGAGUUAUUAUUGUUAUUGCAGGCUUGGAACACCUGCUUCCAAAUUACUGCUGUAAUGACCAAUUACAGUCCCGACUAUAUUAACACUUUCUACUGUGUGUGAGCUGCUGAUAGGCUUUUUGGUUACCCUCAACAUAGAACAUUCAAUGGAAUUCCAAAUCAACAAUUGAAAAGUGGAAUUGAUUGUCAAUGACAAUGUUUCUGUUCUUGAAUAGGAAUCUCAAUUCACUCGACAUCUAUAUCUUCAUUACUCUGUGGUAGACAUGUCAGAACUACACAGGGUUCCUUAUUUGGCAAUCGGCACACUUGAGUACCUCUGAUUGACACACGGUCUAGAGCCACCACCAGGGGGAGUCAUGCCGCAUCACGCCACUCAGAUGGGUGGCUGACAGCCAUAGGGAGUGGAGAGGAAUAAAGGUGAGGAGGUUGAGAGAAGAUGGGGAGCUGUCAACAGCUCAUCAGGCAGCGGUAGACAGCUGGGGCCAACCAAGUAAUUUCCCUGGGUGAUUAGGUGUGUGUGUGAUAGCAUAAGGGCAAUUGGGGUGAUUACCACUGAGAUUUUGGAGCUGGAGAGAACACUGUGGGUAGGACAUUGAGGAGUGAAGUUUCCUUCAGAGGUACAGAGAGAAAGAUAAGUGAAAAGGAUGAGGAGAGAGAACUGGCUUCUGACUGUAAAGGAGAAAAAUGGUGUUGUCUUCUUUUUUCUAGAUGAAGUUAAUUUUGCAAUGUGCUGUUUUCUACACACUCCUAUCCGACAGGUACUGUCUUCACACUCCUAUCCGACAGGUACUGUCUUCACACUCCUAUCCGACAGGUACUGUCUUCACACUCCUAUCCGACAGGUACUGUCUUCACACUCCUAUCUGACAGGUACUGUCUUCACACUCCUAUCCGACAGGUACUGUCUUCACACUCCUAUCCGACAGGUACUGUCUUCACACUCCUAUCCGACAGGUACUGUCUUCACACUCCUAUCCGACAGGUACUGUCUUCACACUCCUAUCCGACAGGUACUGUCUUCACACUCCUAUCCGACAGGUACUGUCUUCACACUCCUAUACGAGAAGUACUGUCUUCACACUCCUAUCCGACAGGUACUGUCUUCACACUCCUAUCCGACAGGUACUGUCUUCACACUCCUAUCUGACAGGUACUGUCUUCACACUCCUAUCCGACAGGUACUGUCUUCACACUCCUAUCCGACAAGUACUGUCUUCACACUCCUAUCCGACAGGUACUGUCUUCACACUCCUAUCUGACAGGUACUGUUUUCUACACACUCCUAUCCGACAGGUACUGUCUUCACACUCCUAUCUGACAGGUACUGUCUUCACACUCCUAUCCGAAAGGUACUGUCUUCACACUCCUAUCUGACAGGUACUGUCUUCACACUCCUAUCCGACAGGUACUGUCUUCACACUCCUAUCUAACAGGUACUGUUUUCUACACACUCCUAUCCGACAGGUACUGUCUUCUACACACUCCUAUCUGACAGGUACUGUCUUCACACUCCUAUCUGACAGGUACUGUUUUCUACACACUCCUAUCCGACAGGUACUGUCUUCACACUCCUAUCUGACAGGUACUGUCUUCACACUCCUAUCCGACAGGUACUGUCUUCACACUCCUAUCCGACAGGUACUGUCUUCACACUCCUAUCUGACAGGUACUGUCUUCACACUCCUAUCUGACAGGUACUGUCUUCACACUCCUAUCCGACAGGUACUGUCUUCACACUCCUAUCCGACAGGUACUGUCUUCACACCCCUAUCCGACAGGUACUGUCUUCACACUCCUAUCCAACAGGUACUGUCUUCACACUCCUAUCCGACAGGUACUGUCUUCACACUCCUAUCUGACAGGUACUGUCUUCACACUCCUAUCUGACAGGUACUGUCUUCACACUCCUAUCCGACAGGUACUGUCUUCACACUCCUAUCCGACAGGUACUGUCUUCACACUCCUAUCCGACAGGUACUGUCUUCACACUCCUAUCCGACAGGUACUGUCUUCACACUCCUAUCCGACAGGUACUGUCUUCACACUCCUAUCCGACAGGUACUGUCUUCACACUCCUAUCUGACAGGAACUGUCUUCACACUCCUAUCCGACAGGUACUGUCUUCACACUCCUAUCUGACUGGUACUGUCUUCACACUCCUAUCCGACAGGUACUGUCUUCACACUCCUAUCCGACAGGUACUGUCUUCACACUCCUAUCCGACAGGUACUGUCUUCACACUCCUAUCCGACAGGUACUGUCUUCACACUCCUAUCUGACAGGAACUGUCUUCUACACACUCCUAUCCGACAGGUAAUGUCUUCUACACACUCCUAUCCGACAGGUACUGUCUUCACACUCCUAUCUGACAGGUACUGUCUUCACACUCCUAUCCGACAGGUACUGUCUUCACACUCCUAUCCGACAGGUACUGUCUUCACACUCCUAUCCGACAGGUACUGUCUUCACACUCCUAUCUGACAGGUACUGUCUUCACACUCCUAUCCGACAGGUACUGUCUUCACACUCCUAUCUGACAGGUACUGUCUUCAAACUCCUAUCCAACAGAUACUGUUUUCACACUCCUAUCUGACAGGUACUGUCUUCACACUCCUAUCUGACAGGUACUGUCUUCACACUCCUAUCCGACAGAUACUGUUUUCACACUCCUACCUGACAGGUACUGUCUUCACACUCCUAUCUGACAGGUACUGU